This 253-nucleotide ribosomal RNA is filed under the name uncultured bacterium. RNAcentral's name for it is "partial 16S ribosomal RNA". It matches the Rfam family "Bacterial small subunit ribosomal RNA", at positions 524 to 776 of the family's 1533-position model. The record is from RNAcentral.
UACGAAGGGGGCGAGCGUUGUUCGGAUUUACUGGGCGUAAAGGGCGCGCAGGCGGCAGACCAAGUCAGGCGUGAAAGCCCCGGGCUCAACCCGGGAACUGCGUCCGAUACUGGCAGGCUUGAAUCCGGGAGAGGGAUGUGGAAUUCCAGGUGUAGCGGUGAAAUGCGUAGAUAUCUGGAGGAACACCGGUGGCGAAGGCGGCAUCCUGGACCGGCAUUGACGCUGAGGCACGAAAGCGUGGGGAGCAAACAGG